UAGCAUAUCAAUAAGCGGAGGAAAAGAAACCAACAGGGAUUGCCCUAGUAACGGCGAGUGAAGCGGCAACAGCUCAAAUUUGAAAUCUGGCCCUCGGGUCCGAGUUGUAAUUUGCAGAGGACGCUUUUGGCGCGGUGCCUUCCGAGUUCCCUGGAACGGGACGCCUUAGAGGGUGAGAGCCCCGUACGGUUGGACACCAAGCCUAUGUAAAGCCCCUUCGACGAGUCGAGUAGUUUGGGAAUGCUGCUCUAAAUGGGAGGUAAAUUUCUUCUAAAGCUAAAUAUUGGCCAGAGACCGAUAGCGCACAAGUAGAGUGAUCGAAAGAUGAAAAGCACUUUGAAAAGAGGGUUAAAUAGCACGUGAAAUUGUUGAAAGGGAAGCGUUUGCGACCAGACCUUUUCCCGGCGGAUCAUCCGGUGUUCUCACCGGUGCACUUCGCCGGGUCAAGGCCAGCAUCGGUUUCCGCGGGGGGACAAAAGCUUGGGGAACGUAGCUUCUUCGGAAGUGUUAUAGCCCCUUGCAUAAUACCCCCGGGGGGACCGAGGACCGCGCUUCGGCAAGGAUGCUGGCGUAAUGGUCGUCAACGACCCGUCUUGAAACACGGACCAAGGAGUCGAACAUUUGUGCGAGUGUUUGGGUGUUAAACCCUUGCGCGUAAUGAAAGUGAACGGAGGUGAGAGCCCUUACGGGUGCAUCAUCGACCGAUCCUGAUGUCUUCGGAUGGAUUUGAGUAAGAGCAUAAACGUUCGGACCCGAAAGAUGGUGAACUAUGCGUGGAUAGGGUGAAGCCAGAGGAAACUCUGGUGGAGGCUCGCAGCGGUUCUGACGUGCAAAUCGAUCGUCAAAUCUGCGCAUGGGGGCGAAAGACUUAUCGAACCAUCUAGUAGCUGGUUACCGCCGAU
Molecule: ribosomal RNA, 902 nt
Filed under: Xylaria sp.
Lineage: Eukaryota; Fungi; Ascomycota; Sordariomycetes; Xylariales; Xylariaceae
Description: partial large subunit ribosomal RNA
Rfam family: Eukaryotic large subunit ribosomal RNA
Source: RNAcentral